GAUGAACGCUGGCGGCGUGCCUAAUACAUGCAAGUAGAACGCUGAAGGAGGAGCUUGCUCUUCUGGAUGAGUUGCGAACGGGUGAGUAACGCGUAGGUAACCUGCCUGGUAGCGGGGGAUAACUAUUGGAAACGAUAGCUAAUACCGCAUGACAACAGUUAUUGCAUGAUAACUGUUUAAAAGGGGCAACUGCUCCACUACCAGAUGGACCUGCGUUGUAUUAGCUAGUUGGUGAGGUAACGGCUCACCAAGGCGACGAUACAUAGCCGACCUGAGAGGGUGAUCGGCCACACUGGGACUGAGACACGGCCCAGACUCCUACGGGAGGCAGCAGUAGGGAAUCGUCGGCAAUGGACGGAAGUCUGACCGAGCAACGCCGCGUGAGUGAAGAAGGUUGUCGGAUCGUAAAGCUCUGUUGUAAGAGAAGAACGAGUGUGAGAGUGGAAAGUUCACACUGUGACGGUAUCUUACCAGAAAGGGACGGCUAACUACGUG
This 495-nucleotide ribosomal RNA is filed under the name uncultured bacterium. Its description in RNAcentral is "partial 16S ribosomal RNA". It matches the Rfam family "Bacterial small subunit ribosomal RNA", at positions 28 to 507 of the family's 1533-position model. The record is from RNAcentral.